GCACGCCGCACACGUGUAGAUGCAAGAAAAGAAUUCUAGAUAAAGAAGGAAUCAAUGAAUUAAUGAUGUGAGAUUAAGAUGAGGGAUAGAUGGGAGUGUGGUAUUGAGAAAGAUAAGAGAAAGAGACACCACCUACGCCAGCCCAUCUUUAGAUCUGAAUGAGAUUUCAGUAAUGUGUUAAAUAAACUGAACAAAAGUAAUAGGAAAAAAGAUGGGUUGUUGAUGGAAAGGUUUCAUUGGCUCGCAGUUGCUUAACCAAAAUCGUAUGUCAGCACAACUGCCUUCUCUACUUGUUUUAUUAAAACCCUUAAAGGAAAAUUCUUUUCAGAAUUUCUUAUUUUUGGGCACCUAUACUCAAAAUGCAAUCCCUCAUGAAGUAUUUCCUUCUUCCAUUUCUUGAGUUUAUCUGUACUUUUACCCUUUAGGAACUACCAGUCAAAGGGAAUUGUUCCAGACUCCAUAGCUGUAAUUUGCGUUUGCCAACAUAAGAUCCUUACCCUUUUGCAUCAUGUAAACACGUAGAAAAAUGCUCUUGGCAUCUAACUGAAGACUUUAAGAUGAAAAGUCCAUUUCGAAGUCAAAUGUAUUAUGUAAAUUUUUAGAACUAGAUUUUCAAUCAGUAACAGAUCACGUAACUUAUUCGACAAAGUAUUAUCAUACACUGACCUUUAUUAACCAAACUGCAUUUUUAUAGACAGUCGGUGAUACAUACCUCCAACCUUUUCAAUGAACAUUUAAGAAAAUUUAUGACUAACAAAUUAUGUAAUAUGUCAGUGUUAUGUGCUAUUAGAGAAAAUAAUACAUCUGGGUGCAUGGAAGGAAAUUCAAUUUGAGAUAUUAAUAAAUUGUAAAAAUUGAAAUUAGUCAGAAAUUUUAUAGGUAAAUUUCCAGAUAUAAGUAAGUCCAAUAUUUUGCAUGUAUUUUGCUACCUUUUGCUAGUUACCAAAGUUUACAGGCAACAUGACAGAAUAUUAAACAAUCAAAAGUCUCUUCAUGCUUGUGGAUGCAAUUCUUUUUCCGCUAGUCUGACUUAUUAAACUUUAGAGUGUACAUAAGUAUUUGUAUAAUGGACACAAACUUUUAGCUUGAUAGUUUUUGCCAUAUGUAAAUCUUAUUAUUUUUACUAAGAUUAAAGAAUUUACUUGAUGCUCCAUGCUUCCACCUCAAAUUCUUUUUUUUUAUGGAAUGCUUCCUCCACAAAUUCAUCUUCCUCUUUUGCAAUGUUGACAAACCUGAGUUCGACACAAUUGGAAUUUGGAGGAGAGAAUCAAUCUUCUACAUCCCCCAAAACUUAAGCAUUUGGUUUCUUGACUUUAGAAUAGUUGCCUGAUGUUGCCUAUGCUUUCAAUAAGAGCCAUGAACAACUGGCCGAGUCAAACAAAUUGUAUCCUGUAUAUAUAAGAUUAACCGCAAGGAUUAAGGUAAAAAUCCAUCCAGAUUAGAUAAUGUUUUGUGACCAGCCCCUACCCUGUUUUCAAUUUUCUGAAUUAAGUUCAAUUCCUAAAUAAGCCAAAUAUGGGCAUGAAAUGGGUAUUCCGUAGCCAGUUCAUAGGCAAGGACACUUAUUGUUUUUCAUGCAAGAAGUAUCCUUCAAAAUUUCCCAAGAACCUUGAACAAAGGGAAUGCAGCAAAACUUGAUUUAUGACACCGCUAGGAAAAGCACUGAGCCAAAUGAAAAUUGACAAACCAAAAAUCCAUUCUUGAUGAUAAAAUCACAAAAAUAUCAUGAAAUUAAUGAAAAUUAAAUAUCUUGCUAUGUAAUAUGUGGAGCAAGAAUAGAAAAGUUGCAGUAAUGCAAUGGGUGUACAACAGUGAAGCAAUGACCUAACAUAUACAACAAUUACACUUUUCUUGGGCUAUUAUAGCACAAAUAUAAUUUAUGAAUCUAUUACAUGUGUACAUACAAACUUCUACCUAAGGUCAAUGAUAUACAGAUAUGUACAAUUCGUUACCCUUUAAAAUGAAGGAAAGCACAAUUUAUUAGUGAUAUAAAGAAAUGAAAAGUUGAGUUUUCAUUAAGAAUAUUUGCAUUGC
RNAcentral lists this long non-coding RNA (2034 nucleotides) under Phoenix dactylifera (date palm). RNAcentral's name for it is "long non-coding RNA (PDAC_LNC006282)". Lineage: Eukaryota; Viridiplantae; Streptophyta; Magnoliopsida; Arecales; Arecaceae. The record is from RNAcentral.